AACGUAGGAGGCGAGCGUUAUCCGGAUUUACUGGGCGUAAAGCGCGUGCAGGCGGCACGGCAAGUUGGAUGUGAAAGCUCCCGGCUUAACUGGGAGAGGUCGUUCAAAACUGCCGAGCUAGAGUGCGGGAGAGGGAGGUGGAAUUCCGGGUGUAGUGGUGAAAUGCGUAGAUAUCCGGAGGAACACCAGUGGCGAAAGCGGCCUCCUGGUCCGCAACUGACGCUCAGACGCGAAAGCUAGGGUAGCAAACGGGAUUAGAGACCCCGGUAGUCCUAGCUGUAAACGAUGUAGACUUGGCGUUGGUGGGUUCAAAUCCAUCAGUGCCGGAGCAAACGCGUUAAGUCUACCGCCUGGGGACUACGGCCGCAAGGUUAAA
This 376-nucleotide ribosomal RNA is filed under the name uncultured bacterium. RNAcentral describes it as "bacterial SSU rRNA". It matches the Rfam family "Bacterial small subunit ribosomal RNA", at positions 524 to 898 of the family's 1533-position model. The record is from RNAcentral.